This 457-nucleotide ribosomal RNA is filed under the name uncultured Gammaproteobacteria bacterium. RNAcentral's name for it is "bacterial SSU rRNA". It matches the Rfam family "Bacterial small subunit ribosomal RNA", at positions 1071 to 1532 of the family's 1533-position model. Lineage: Bacteria; Pseudomonadati; Pseudomonadota; Gammaproteobacteria. The record is from RNAcentral.
UGUAUGUGGGUAGUCCGCACGAGCGCACCUUAUCCUGAGUUGCCAGCACGUAAUGGUGGGAACUCUACGGAGACUGUCGGUGACAAACCGGAGGAAGGUGGGGACGACGUCAAGUCAUCAUGGCCCUUACGAGAUGGGCUACACACGUGCUACAAUGGCAAGUACAAAGGGUUGCAAACUCGCGAGAGUAAGCGGAUCCCAUAAAGCUUGUCGUAUUCCGGAUUGGAGUCUGCAACUCGACUCCAUGAAGUCGGAAUCGCUGGUAAUCGUGGAUCAGAAUGCCACGGUGAAUACGUUCCCGGGCCUUGUACACACCGCCCGUCACACCAUGGGAGUGGGCUGCACAAGAAGUGGAUAGCUUAACCUUCGGGAGGGCGUUCACCACUUUGUGGUUCAUGACUGGGGUGAAGUCGUAACAAGGUAGCCGUAGGGGAACCUGCGGCUGGAUCACCUCCUU